Molecule: long non-coding RNA, 466 nt
Organism: Empidonax traillii (willow flycatcher)
Lineage: Eukaryota; Metazoa; Chordata; Aves; Passeriformes; Tyrannidae
Exons: 2
Source: RefSeq, a predicted model, not a curated record
UGUAAAUCAGCCUCCCUAGUGAUGUGUAGCUGCACAGAGGAAGCUGAAUUAUGGUUGUAGCAAACUAGGAAAAUGCCUGUAUUAUCUUUUGUGAAUAUUACUUACAGAUCUCCUUUAUUUAUUUGUGUAUCACUUGCUGCAUGGUUGUAUAAGAAGUUUAAGGAGGUAAGACAUCCUCUGUUGUCCAGCUUCUUCAGAGUUCAAGCAAGGACUGGGUUGUUUGCUUAGACCAGUUCUCUCUAGACAACAAUAAGGAUUAAAUUUUGAAUCUUUUAGAGCAAAGUGGGACUUGGUUGAACCAGAAGAGGCUGGCUGUACAAGAGGAAGCUUCUGUGCUUGCAGAAACUCAAGAAUUGUUGACUGAUUGCUGGAGCUCAGUGAAGGUGUAGAGAGCAGAAUAGCUGUGGAGCACUCAGACUCUAAUGUGGGAGCACUAGCCAGACAUAAAUCUGAAAUACCACUUUGC